Molecule: ribosomal RNA, 1383 nt
Filed under: Triticum aestivum (bread wheat)
Lineage: Eukaryota; Viridiplantae; Streptophyta; Magnoliopsida; Poales; Poaceae
Description: partial small subunit ribosomal RNA
Source: RNAcentral
AUGGUGAUGGCCAGCGCCGGCGUCAACAACAUGCCCCAGGGGGACUCCGAGGAAGGUCGCCUGCGCAGGCGCGCCCGCCUCCACGCGCGCCGCUACGCCCACCAAGCCUCCUCCGCUCCUGCCCCCGGCCCCGCCCCCGCCCCCGCCCCCGAGGAAGGAGGGGAAGUGCAGUCCCCGCCGCCCUCCUCCUACUCCUCCUCAUCCUCCGACUCCAAGGAGGAGGAGUCGGGCUGUGCCUCUGACGCGGUUGUUGCGGCGGCGCCCCAGCUGCUGCCCUCCAAGGACAAGGACAAGGAGAAGGACAAGUCGUGGUGGAGAUGGCCCGUGGCGUUCGGGUCGGUGGCGCUGGCGGGGCGGCUGCGGGAGAUGGAGGACACGGUGUCGCUGCACCCCAGCUUGUGCGCCUGGGCCGACGGCUCGCCCAUGCACCUGUUCGCCGUCUUCGACGGACACGGCGGCCCCCACGCCGCGGCUCUGUGCAGGGAGCAGAUGCACGUCAUCCUCGCCGAGGAGCUGGCCGGCGCCGCGGCAGCCUUCAAAUUCAAUAACCGGCAGUCGGAGCAACCGGCGGCGGCGCCAUCGUCAUCGUCGUCAUCGUGGGAGCAGCAGCAGCGAGAGCGAGAGCGAGAGCAAGAGCAGGAGUCGGAGGAGCAAGUGGCGUGGCGUGGCGCCCUGUCGAGGAGCUUCGCGCGGGCGGACGCGCUGGCGGUGUCGGCGUGCGCGUGCGGGCGCGGGAGUACAUUGAGUGUGCCCAAGUCGUGCUCCUGCCUGCUGUCCUCGGCGCAGAAGGGCGCCAUCGUGGGGUCGACGGCCGUGGUGGCGCUGCUGGUCCGCGACCGGCUCAUCGUGGCCAACUGCGGCGACUCGCGGGCCGUGCUGUCCCGGGGCGGCGUCGCCGUGCCGCUCUCCCACGACCACAAGCCUGACCGGCCGGACGAGAUGGCGCGGAUCAAGGCGGCCGGCGGCAAGGUCAUGUACAUGAACGGGGCGCGCGUCCGCGGCAUCCUCGCCAUGUCCCGAGCGCUAGGGCACAGGCUCCUGAAGCCAGAAGUGAUAUGCGAGCCAGAGAUCAGCAUAACGGAAAGGUCGGAGGACGACGACUGCCUGAUCCUCGCGAGCGACGGGCUGUGGGACGUGAUCUCCAACAAGGUGGCCUGCGACGUGGCCAGGCAAUGCCUGGAAGACGGGAGCCCGACCAGAGCUCCUGCUGCAGCUGGGAGCAGCGAAGCCGCUCCCAGCAGCGGCGGCGCCGCGCCGGUGGUUUCGCAGGAGGAAGAGCCCCGGUGCUUCCGCGCGGCGGCACUCCUCGCGAGGCUGGCCCUCGGGAGGGAGAGCUCUGAUAACAUUAGCGUGGUGGUGGUUGAUCUGAAGGCGAGGAGUUAA